UGGACAGGUUUUGGGUGAAUUCUUUGAAAAAGUUGACACCACCGUUUUUGGUGACUGCGACAGGCGGCGGGUCAUGGUUUGGAGUGAAAAAAUGUCAAAAUUUCAGGUCCAACUUUUUCACCUCAAAGUCACUCAGGGGCAUGUUUUAGACCAUUUGGAGUGGAUUUGGACAGGUUUUGGGUGAAUUCUUUGAAAAAGUUGACACCACCGUUUUUGGUGACUGCGACAGGCGGCGGGUCAUGGUUUGGAGUGAAAAAAUGUCAAAAUUUCAGGUCCAACUUUUUCACCUCAAAGUCACUCAGGGGCAUGUUUUAUGCCAUUUGGAGUGGAUUUGGACAGGUGUCUGGUGAAUUCUUUGAAAAAGUUGACACCACCGUUUUUGGUGACUGCGACAGGCGGCGGGUCAUGGUUUGGAGUGAAAAAAUGUCAAAAUUUCAGGUCCAACUUUUUCACCUCAAAGUCACUCAGGGGCAUGUUUUAUGCCAUUUGGAGUGGAUUUGGACAGGUUUUGGGUGAAUUCUUUGAAAAAGUUGACACCACCGUUUUUGGUGACUGCGACAGGCGGCGGGUCAUGGUUUGGAGUGAAAAAAUGUCAAAAUUUCAGGUCCAACUUUUUCACCUCAAAGUCACUCAGGGGCAU
Lates calcarifer (barramundi perch) is the source of this 640-nucleotide long non-coding RNA. RefSeq lists it as uncharacterized. The transcript has 2 exons. Lineage: Eukaryota; Metazoa; Chordata; Actinopteri; Centropomidae. The record is from RefSeq and is a predicted model, not a curated record.